AGAGUUUGAUCAUGGCUCAGAACGAACGCUGGCGGCAGGCCUAACACAUGCAAGUCGAGCGAGACCUUCGGGUCUAGCGGCGGACGGGUGAGUAACGCGUGGGAAUAUGCCCUUCGGUUCGGGAUAGCCCCGGGAAACUGGGAGUAAUACCGGAUACGGUCUACGGACGAAAGAUUUAUCGCCGAAGGAUUAGCCCGCGUUGGAUUAGGUAGUUGGUGGGGUAAUGGCCUACCAAGCCGACGAUCCAUAGCUGGUUUGAGAGGAUGAUCAGCCACACUGGGACUGAGACACGGCCCAGACUCCUACGGGAGGCAGCAGUGGGGAAUCUUAGACAAUGGGGGAAACCCUGAUCUAGCCAUGCCGCGUGAGCGAUGAAGGCCUUAGGGUUGUAAAGCUCUUUCAGCUGGGAAGAUAAUGACUGUACCAGCAGAAGAAGCCCCGGCUAACUCCGUGCCAGCAGCCGCGGUAAUACGGAGGGGGCUAGCGUUGUUCGGAAUUAC
RNAcentral lists this ribosomal RNA (500 nucleotides) under uncultured bacterium. RNAcentral's name for it is "bacterial SSU rRNA". It matches the Rfam family "Bacterial small subunit ribosomal RNA", at positions 8 to 554 of the family's 1533-position model. The record is from RNAcentral.